This 497-nucleotide ribosomal RNA is filed under the name uncultured bacterium. Its description in RNAcentral is "partial 16S ribosomal RNA". It matches the Rfam family "Bacterial small subunit ribosomal RNA", at positions 28 to 507 of the family's 1533-position model. The record is from RNAcentral.
GAUGAACGCUGGCGGCGUGCCUAAUACAUGCAAGUCGAGCGAACAGACGAGGAGCUUGCUCCUCUGACGUUAGCGGCGGACGGGUGAGUAACACGUGGAUAACCUACCUAUAAGACUGGGAUAACUUCGGGAAACCGGAGCUAAUACCGGAUAAUAUAUUGAACCGCAUGGUUCAAUAGUGAAAGACGGUUUUGCUGUCACUUAUAGAUGGAUCCGCGCCGCAUUAGCUAGUUGGUAAGGUAACGGCUUGCCAAGGCAACGAUGCGUAGCCGACCUGAGAGGGUGAUCGGCCACACUGGAACUGAGACACGGUCCAGACACCUACGGGAGGCAGCAGUAGGGAAUCUUCCGAAAAGGGCGAAAGCCUGACGGAGCAACGCAGCGUGAGUGAUGAAGGUCUUCGGAUCGUAAAACGCUGUUAUUAGGGAAGAACAAAUGUGUAAGUAACUAUGCACGUCUUGACGGUACCUAAUCAGAAAGCCACGGCUAACUACGUG